GGGUCGAUAGCUCAGCUGGUUAGAGCAGCGGAUUUUUAAUCCGUUGGUCCUGGGUUCGAGUCCCAGUCGACCCACCU
This 77-nucleotide transfer RNA is filed under the name Myxococcales bacterium. RNAcentral's name for it is "tRNA-Lys". It matches the Rfam family "tRNA". From Rfam's summary of the family: Transfer RNA (tRNA) molecules are approximately 80 nucleotides in length. Their secondary structure includes four short double-helical elements and three loops (D, anti-codon, and T loops). The record is from RNAcentral. Lineage: Bacteria; Pseudomonadati; Myxococcota; Myxococcia; Myxococcales.